UGGGUGACGAGAGCACGUACUCUGAGCAGCAGAUACCCUGGAAUCCGUCGUCUGCUGUCCUCCACGGUUUCCAGUUUCCUCCUGGUCCUGUGAGCUUCUCUUACUUCCCUAGUGAGAACGCUGAAAAACUUUUCAACUGAAAUACCACACUGAAGGACAAAAUAACAGAAGUAGAAUGUCCCCACUGGGAUGGAGAUGAAGCUUCCUGCUUUCCUGCACCGUCUCACACCUCCCUCGAGUCCCUCUCCGGAUUCUGUGCUCUGGGAAACACAUCUGAAACCACCAGCCAGAGAGCAAGAUGGGGUCCCUUAUGUCAAGCAGUGAUGCAAGCAGCCAAGGGUAUUGAGCUACGACCGGGUAUGGUGGAAACUAGCACAGCUAACCCACGCAGAACUGACAACCAGCAGAACCAGAGGAAGUCUGCAAAGGGCCAAGACUGAUAAACUCCUAUAAAAAGGGAGGAUUUUUGAGCAAACUGUCAGACUUUCUAGAUGCUGACCCUCUCGUGUCUGACCACAUCAAAAGGUUGUAGAAGGUUCACCUUGAGUAAUCUCUGAGCAGAACAGAUCCUUCCCCGCUUGAACGUGGGAAGCACCAAGUUCAAGUUGGAUCUGAGUCAGACCGAACCAAGACCUCAUCUUGACUGCGCGCUCACGUUUGGUUUGUUAACUUUCUAGCCCG
This is a long non-coding RNA of Mustela lutreola (European mink), 681 nucleotides long. RefSeq lists it as uncharacterized. Lineage: Eukaryota; Metazoa; Chordata; Mammalia; Carnivora; Mustelidae. The transcript has 3 exons. The record is from RefSeq and is a predicted model, not a curated record.